Macrostomum lignano is the source of this 70-nucleotide non-coding RNA. The record is from Rfam. NCBI's taxonomy places the organism in Eukaryota, Metazoa, Platyhelminthes, Macrostomidae.
GGGGUUGUAGCCUAGUGGUUAGGGCAUCGGACUCAGGACUUGAAGGUCGGGGGUUCGAUUCCCGAUACCA